GACGAACGCUGGCGGCGUGCCUAAUACAUGCAAGUAGAACGCUGAAGAGAGGAGCUUGCUCUUCUUGGAUGAGUUGCGAACGGGUGAGUAACGCGUAGGUAACCUGCCUUGUAGCGGGGGAUAACUAUUGGAAACGAUAGCUAAUACCGCAUAACAAUGGGUGACACAUGUCAUUUAUUUGAAAGGGGCAAUUGCUCCACUACAAGAUGGACCUGCGUUGUAUUAGCUAGUAGGUGAGGUAACGGCUCACCUAGGCGACGAUACAUAGCCGACCUGAGAGGGUGAUCGGCCACACUGGGACUGAGACACGGCCCAGACUCCUACGGGAGGCAGCAGUAGGGAAUCUUCGGCAAUGGGGGCAACCCUGACCGAGCAACGCCGCGUGAGUGAAGAAGGUUUUCGGAUCGUAAAGCUCUGUUGUAAGUCAAGAACGAGUGUGAGAGUGGAAAGUUCACACUGUGACGGUAGCUUACCAGAAAGGGACGGCUAACUACGUGCCAGCAGCCGCGGUAAUACGUAGGUCCCGAGCGUUGUCCGGAUUUAUUGGGCGUAAAGCGAGCGCAGGCGGUUUGAUAAGUCUGAAGUUAAAGGCUGUGGCUCAACCAUAGUUCGCUUUGGAAACUGUCAAACUUGAGUGCAGAAGGGGAGAGUGGAAUUCCAUGUGUAGCGGUGAAAUGCGUAGAUAUAUGGAGGAACACCGGUGGCGAAAGCGGCUCUCUGGUCUGUAACUGACGCUGAGGCUCGAAAGCGUGGGGAGCGAACAGG
Molecule: ribosomal RNA, 765 nt
Filed under: uncultured Streptococcus sp.
Lineage: Bacteria; Bacillati; Bacillota; Bacilli; Lactobacillales; Streptococcaceae
Description: bacterial SSU rRNA
Rfam family: Bacterial small subunit ribosomal RNA
Source: RNAcentral